GAUGAACGCUGGCGGCGUGCCUAAUACAUGCAAGUCGAGCGAUCGGACGAGAAGCUUGCUUCUCUGAUGUUAGCGGCGGACGGGUGAGUAACACGUGGAUAACCUACCUAUAAGACUGGGAUAACUUCGGGAAACCGUAGCUAAUACCGGAUAAUAUUUUGAACCGCAUGGUUCAAAAGUGAAAGACGGUCUUGCUGUCACUUAUAGAUGGAUCCGCGCUGCAUUAGCUAGUUGGUAAGGUAACGGCUUACCAAGGCAACGAUGCAUAGCCGACCUGAGAGGGUGAUCGGCCACACUGGAACUGAGACACGGUCCAGACUCCUACGGGAGGCAGCAGUAGGGAAUCUUCCGCAAUGGGCGAAAGCCUGACGGAGCAACGCCGCGUGAGUGAUGAAGGUCUUCGGAUCGUAAAACUCUGUUAUUAGGGAAGAACAUAUGUGUAAGUAACUGUGCACAUCUUGACGGUACCUAAUCAGAAAGCCACGGCUAACUACGUG
Molecule: ribosomal RNA, 497 nt
Filed under: uncultured bacterium
Lineage: Bacteria
Description: partial 16S ribosomal RNA
Rfam family: Bacterial small subunit ribosomal RNA
Source: RNAcentral